Molecule: ribosomal RNA, 414 nt
Filed under: uncultured microorganism
Description: bacterial SSU rRNA
Rfam family: Archaeal small subunit ribosomal RNA
Source: RNAcentral
CAGCAGCCGCGGUAAUACCGGCGGCCCGAGUGGCGGUCGCUAUUAUUGGGCUUAAAGCGUCCGUAGCCGGGUUGGGAAGUCCUCCGGGAAAUCUGGCCGCUUAACGGUCAGAAUGCCGGAGGAUACUCCCAGCCUAGGGAGCGGGAGAGGCCGAGGGUAUUCCCGGAGUAGGGGGGAAAUCCUAUAAUCCCGGGAGGACCACCUGUGGCGAAGGCGCUCGGCUGGAACGGGUCCGACGGUGAGGGACGAAGGCCAGGGGAGCAAACCGGAUUAGAUACCCGGGUAGUCCUGGCUGUAAACGAUGCGGACUUUGUGUCGGACAAGCUAUGAGCUUGUCCGGUGCCGGAGGGAAACCGUUAAGUCCGCCGCCUGGGGAGUACGGCCGCAAGGCUGAAACUUAAAGGAAUUGGCGGG